AGGACGAACGCUGGCGGCGUGCUUAACACAUGCAAGUCGAGCGGUAAGGCCUCUUCGGGGGUACACGAGCGGCGAACAGGUGAGUAACACGUGAGCAAUCCGCCCUUCACUUCGGGAUAAGCCUCGGAAACGGGGUCUAAUACCGGAUAUGACCGUGCCAUGCAUGUGGUGUGGUGGAAAGUUCUGGCGGUGGAGGAUGAGCUCGCGGCCUAUCAGCUUGUUGGUGGGGUAAUGGCCUACCAAGGCUUCGACGGGUAGCCGGCCUGAGAGGGUGACCGGCCACACUGGGACUGAGACACGGCCCAGACUCCUACGGGAGGCAGCAGUGGGGAAUGUUGGACAAUGGGCGAAAGCCUGAUCCAGCAACGCGCGUGAGGAUGACGGCCUUCGGGUUGUAACCUCUUUCAGCGCCGACGAGCGAGAGUGACGGUAGGCGCAGAAGAAGCACGGCCAACUACGUGCCAGCACGCCGC
RNAcentral lists this ribosomal RNA (473 nucleotides) under uncultured soil bacterium. RNAcentral's name for it is "bacterial SSU rRNA". It matches the Rfam family "Bacterial small subunit ribosomal RNA", at positions 26 to 518 of the family's 1533-position model. The record is from RNAcentral.